UGAAGUGAUUGUAGGGCGCAAUCACGUUAAUCUAAAGAAAGCCCUAUUUUU
This 51-nucleotide non-coding RNA is filed under the name unclassified sequences. Its description in RNAcentral is "6A RNA". It matches the Rfam family "6A RNA". From Rfam's summary of the family: Actinobacteria (1 example), Firmicutes, Fusobacteria. Terminator (Clostridia) The record is from RNAcentral.